RNAcentral lists this ribosomal RNA (424 nucleotides) under uncultured prokaryote. RNAcentral's name for it is "bacterial SSU rRNA". It matches the Rfam family "Bacterial small subunit ribosomal RNA", at positions 355 to 796 of the family's 1533-position model. The record is from RNAcentral.
UGGGGAGUCUUAGACAAUGGGGGAAACCCUGAUCUAGCCAUGCCGCGUGAGUGACGAAGGCCCUAGGGUCGUAAAGCUCUUUCGCCAGGGAAGAUAAUGACGGUACCUGGUAAAGAAACCCCGGCUAUCUCCGUGCCAGCAGCCGGGGUAAUACGGAGGGGGUUAGCGUUGUUCGGAAUUACUGGGCGUAAGGCGCACGUAGGCGGGCCAGUCAGUCAGAGGUGAAAUCCCAGGGCUCAACCCUGGAACUGCCUUUGAUACUGCUGGUCUCGAGUCCGAGAGAGGUGAGUGGAAUUCCGAGUGUAGAGGUGAAAUUCGUAGAUAUUCGGAGGAACACCAGUGGCGAAGGCGGCUCACUGGCUCGGUACUGACGCUGAGGUGCGAAAGCGUGGGGAGCAAACAGGAUUAGAUACCCGUGUAGUCC